AUCUGCCUGGUAGUGGGGGACAACGUUUCGAAAGGAACGCUAAUACCGCAUACGUCCUACGGGAGAAAGCAGGGGACCUUCGGGCCUUGCGCUAUCAGAUGAGCCUAGGUCGGAUUAGCUUGUUGGUGAGGUAAUGGCUCACCAAGGCGACGAUCCGUAACUGGUCUGAGAGGAUGAUCAGUCACACUGGAACUGAGACACGGUCCAGACUCCUACGGGAGGCAGCAGUGGGGAAUAUUGGACAAUGGGCGAAAGCCUGAUCCAGCCAUGCCGCGUGUGUGAAGAAGGUCUUCGGAUUGUAAAGCACUUUAAGUUGGGAGGAAGGGUUGUAGAUUAAUACUCUGCAAUUUUGACGUUACCGACAGAAUAAGCACCGGCUAACUCUGUGCCAGCAGCCGCGGUAAUACAGAGGGUGCAAGCGUUAAUCGGAAUUACUGGGCGUAAAGCGCGCGUAGGUGGUUUGUUAAGUUGGAUGUGAAAGCCCCGGGCUCAACCUGGGAACUGCAUCCAAAACUGGCAAGCUAGAGUACGGUAGAGGGUGGUGGAAUUUCCUGUGUAGCGGUGAAAUGCGUAGAUAUAGGAAGGAACACCAGUGGCGAAGGCGACCACCUGGACUGAUACUGACACUGAGGUGCGAAAGCGUGGGGAGCAAACAGGAUUAGAUACCCUGGUAGUCCACGCCGUAAACGAUGUCAACUAGCCGUUGGAAUCCUUGAGAUUUUAGUGGCGCAGCUAACGCAUUAAGUUGACCGCCUGGGGAGUACGGCCGCAAGGUUAAAACUCAA
RNAcentral lists this ribosomal RNA (785 nucleotides) under Pseudomonas sp. RNAcentral's name for it is "bacterial SSU rRNA". It matches the Rfam family "Bacterial small subunit ribosomal RNA", at positions 124 to 904 of the family's 1533-position model. The record is from RNAcentral. Lineage: Bacteria; Pseudomonadati; Pseudomonadota; Gammaproteobacteria; Pseudomonadales; Pseudomonadaceae.